This 902-nucleotide ribosomal RNA is filed under the name uncultured Gammaproteobacteria bacterium. Its description in RNAcentral is "bacterial SSU rRNA". It matches the Rfam family "Bacterial small subunit ribosomal RNA", at positions 11 to 907 of the family's 1533-position model. The record is from RNAcentral. Lineage: Bacteria; Pseudomonadati; Pseudomonadota; Gammaproteobacteria.
GUUUGAUCCUGGCUCAGAUUGAACGCUGGCGGCAGGCUUAACACAUGCAAGUCGAGCGGAUGAAGGUAGCUUGCUACUGGAUUCAGCGGCGGACGGGUGAGUAAUGCUUAGGAAUCUGCCUAUUAGUGGGGGACAACGUUCCGAAAGGAGCGCUAAUACCGCAUACGUCCUACGGGAGAAAGCAGGGGACCUUUGGGCCUUGCGCUAAUAGAUGAGCCUAAGUCGGAUUAGCUAGUUGGUAGGGUAAAGGCCUACCAAGGCGACGAUCUGUAGCGGGUCUGAGAGGAUGAUCCGCCACACUGGGACUGAGACACGGCCCAGACUCCUACGGGAGGCAGCAGUGGGGAAUAUUGGACAAUGGGGGGAACCCUGAUCCAGCCAUGCCGCGUGUGUGAAGAAGGCCUUUUGGUUGUAAAGCACUUUAAGCGAGGAGGAGGCUACCUAGAUUAAUACUUUAGGAUAGUGGACGUUACUCGCAGAAUAAGCACCGGCUAACUCUGUGCCAGCAGCCGCGGUAAUACAGAGGGUGCGAGCGUUAAUCGGAUUUACUGGGCGUAAAGCGUGCGUAGGCGGCCAAUUAAGUCAAAUGUGAAAUCCCCGAGCUUAACUUGGGAAUUGCAUUCGAUACUGGUUGGCUAGAGUAUGGGAGAGGAUGGUAGAAUUCCAGGUGUAGCGGUGAAAUGCGUAGAGAUCUGGAGGAAUACCGAUGGCGAAGGCAGCCAUCUGGCCUAAUACUGACGCUGAGGUACGAAAGCAUGGGGAGCAAACAGGAUUAGAUACCCUGGUAGUCCAUGCCGUAAACGAUGUCUACUAGCCGUUGGGGCCCUUGAGGCUUUAGUGGCGCAGCUAACGCGAUAAGUAGACCGCCUGGGGAGUACGGUCGCAAGACUAAAACUCAAAUG